AACCACCUCUCCGUCCACCGACCGCUUCUCCUUCUUUAUCGUCCUCACCGAUGAAAACCGCCGUUCUUCUCCACCCACCAUUAACAAUCCGCCGUUUACCUUCAAUACUCCAUCAAAACCACCGCGGAAUCCACCAUUCUCCACCUCGACACAAUCCUUCCACCAUUUCCAAGCUUUCGUGAACAACCUAUACCUCACUGUGCAAGAUCUUCCUCCACCGUGCUGAAACUAUAAUAGAACACCGCAUCACAAGCCCGCUGCUUCAUCACUACACGUGUUCGUCUCAGUUACUCCACAAACUCCCAUUGCACAUGCUCCAUGUAUCGGCAUCUUCAAAGCCAUGGAGACAUCAAAUUUGUUUUGGAAAAUUUUCUUAAAUAUGCAAGUUUUCGUUUGAGUUUAUGUUACGGUUCAUUCACAUUUGGUAAUUGGUGUAGACUUUUUGUGAUGUUCGUUUUUGCUCUUUAUUUCAAUGUUAACAUGUAAUGAUUCAUGAUGCUGCUACAUUGUGGUUAUAAUUCUUAUGGAUAUCACUAUUAUUGUUGAGUCUAAAAGAGUUUAGGUUUUUGUAUUAUGUGUAAAUGGUUAUGGAUAUUCUUCAAUUGAAAGGAAGGAUGACCAAGUGAGUCUAAAAAAUAAAGAUGUGUAUUCUGGGUGAAAUGAAAUAACAGGAAGUUCUUUUUUAGUUUAUA
Molecule: long non-coding RNA, 692 nt
Organism: Lathyrus oleraceus (garden pea)
Lineage: Eukaryota; Viridiplantae; Streptophyta; Magnoliopsida; Fabales; Fabaceae
Exons: 2
Source: RefSeq, a predicted model, not a curated record